GGGGUGCAGCUGGUAGGGCCCGAACACACUGGUGGUAACCCGAGGACUAGGCGACUUGCCAAUUCUAAAGAACGCUGCUUUUCCUGUGCCCAGUUCCCUCACUCUUACUGGACUUGAACGAAUGAGAACAUCAUCGAGCACCAAAUAAUAAUGAUUUAAAAAUCAUGGGAACAAACAGUGAUAAAAAUGAUACUAUUUGUGGAGGAUCUGUGGGUCUGUUUUUUUUACAAGGAGUAUUUCAUUUGAUUCUCAUCUGAUUUUGUAAGGAAAUUACAAUUACUGUGUUUCUAGCCGGGCAAUGAUCUGCAGGACGUGAGAACUUGUUAGAAAUGCUAAUUCUCAGCCCAUCCAGCCUCCACUGACUUAUAUAUGCUGGGAGGCAAAGUCAAGCCCUUGGUGUUUAACAAGCCCUCCUUGGGGGGCUGACGCAUGUUCAAGUUUGAGAACCACUGUUUUCAGUACUGCUUUGUAUCCCCGAGUGUGAACUUGAGCGGUUCCCCGUGGCAACUGCUCAAUAACAUACCUUUCUGGGGCCUCCUUCCUUUCCUUGUUUCACAUCUUUACUCUUCAGCUGGGCCUUCCUGGGAUCACCUCCAAACAACUACUUGCAUUUGAAUCCUUGCCUCAAGUCUGCUUCCAGAGAACACCAUCUGAGAGAUCUGCAGGGGAAGUGUGGUUGCCCAGAGAGGAGGAGGAAAGUGGCUGGCAGGAUACCCAGGGACAGUAGGAGACUGAGUCAGAUAUCGCAAGC
This 751-nucleotide long non-coding RNA is filed under the name Heterocephalus glaber (naked mole-rat). Its description in RNAcentral is "lncRNA (ENSHGLG00100046234.1)". Lineage: Eukaryota; Metazoa; Chordata; Mammalia; Rodentia; Bathyergidae. The record is from RNAcentral.